Molecule: unclassified non-coding RNA, 502 nt
Filed under: Hevea brasiliensis (rubber tree)
Lineage: Eukaryota; Viridiplantae; Streptophyta; Magnoliopsida; Malpighiales; Euphorbiaceae
Source: RNAcentral
GGCGCUCAUGAAAUCCUUCUGCAAGCAGAAUAUAUCCUUACAAGUGUUCCACCAUCAGUAACAUGGCCUGUGCAAAGUGGAGGAAACACUAGUGUGAGAUUUAAUCAACCUAGAGAUUCCCGACAAGGGAUCCAACAGGCUUAUGAAAGUAUGAGUGAUGGCUUCAGUAAAUCUGCUUCUGCUCUAAUACGCACUCCCAUCAAACGGUAUCAGCGUGGUGCUGGAAUGGGAUCUGCUUUUGCAACUGCUGUCCAAGCAGCUCCAGCAGCAGCCAUUGCCCCAGCUUCUGCCACAGCACGAGCUGUUCAUUGUGCUCUUCUAGGUGUAAGGAACAGCCUCAAUCCGGAGCGUAAGAAAGAGUCUUUGGAGAAAUAUUUGGGGACAAAUCCAUCUCAGCAGUACAUGUAGUAGGUAUGCAGUUUCAAUCCUUGGUUGUACCUUUUGGUGCAUUUCCAGCAUGGAUGUAUCUAUUUAUACAGCUGACUUUCCAUGUAACAAGUGU